Molecule: ribosomal RNA, 564 nt
Filed under: Pichia kudriavzevii
Lineage: Eukaryota; Fungi; Ascomycota; Pichiomycetes; Pichiales; Pichiaceae
Description: LSU rRNA
Rfam family: Eukaryotic large subunit ribosomal RNA
Source: RNAcentral
AAACCAACAGGGAUUGCCUCAGUAGCGGCGAGUGAAGCGACAAGAGCUCAGAUUUGAAAUCGUGCUUUGCGGCACGAGUUGUAGAUUGCAGGUUGGAGUCUGUGUGGAAGGCGGUGUCCAAGUCCCUUGGAACAGGGCGCCCAGGAGGGUGAGAGCCCCGUGGGAUGCCGGCGGAAGCAGUGAGGCCCUUCUGACGAGUCGAGUUGUUUGGGAAUGCAGCUCCAAGCGGGUGGUAAAUUCCAUCUAAGGCUAAAUACUGGCGAGAGACCGAUAGCGAACAAGUACUGUGAAGGAAAGAUGAAAAGCACUUUGAAAAGAGAGUGAAACAGCACGUGAAAUUGUUGAAAGGGAAGGGUAUUGCGCCCGACAUGGGGAUUGCGCACCGCUGCCUCUCGUGGGCGGCGCUCUGGGCUUUCCCUGGGCCAGCAUCGGUUCUUGCUGCAGGAGAAGGGGUUCUGGAACGUGGCUCUUCGGAGUGUUAUAGCCAGGGCCAGAUGCUGCGUGCGGGGACCGAGGACUGCGGCCGUGUAGGUCACGGAUGCUGGCAGAACGGCGCAACACCGC